Molecule: ribosomal RNA, 499 nt
Filed under: uncultured Desulfobulbus sp.
Lineage: Bacteria; Pseudomonadati; Thermodesulfobacteriota; Desulfobulbia; Desulfobulbales; Desulfobulbaceae
Description: bacterial SSU rRNA
Rfam family: Bacterial small subunit ribosomal RNA
Source: RNAcentral
GCCCGCUCAAGAACUUAAUGAAUUGACGGGGCCGCACAAGCGGUGGAGUAUGUGGUUUAAUUCGAUGCAACGCGAAGAACCUUACCUGGUCUUGACAUCCCGGAGACCCUUAGGAAACUAGGGGGUGCUUCCAUCUGGAAGAAUCUGGAGACAGGUGCUGCAUGGCUGUCGUCAGCUCGUGUCGUGAGAUGUUGGGUUAAGUCCCGCAACGAGCGCAACCCUUGCCUUUAGUUGCCAGCAGUUCGGCUGGGCACUCUAAAGGGACUGCCGGUGUUAAACCGGAGGAAGGUGGGGAUGACGUCAAGUCCUCAUGGCCUUUAUGACCAGGGCUACACACGUACUACAAUGGCCGAUACAAAGGGCAGCGACACUGCGAGGUGAAGCCAAUCCCGUAAAAUCGGUCUCAGUCCGGAUUGGAGUCUGCAACUCGACUCCAUGAAGUUGGAAUCGCUAGUAAUCGUGGAUCAGCCAUGGCGCGGUGAAUACGUUCCCGGGCCUU